RNAcentral lists this ribosomal RNA (402 nucleotides) under bacterium. RNAcentral describes it as "partial 16S ribosomal RNA". It matches the Rfam family "Bacterial small subunit ribosomal RNA", at positions 355 to 776 of the family's 1533-position model. The record is from RNAcentral.
UGGGGAAUUUUGCACAAUGGGGGAAACCCUGAUGCAGCGACGCCGCGUGAUUUAGAAGGCCUUCGGGUUGUAAAAAUCUUUUCUAUGGGAAGAAAAUGACAGUACCAUAGGAAUAAAGACCGGCUAAUUACGUGCCAGCAGCCGCGGUAAUACGUAAGGUCCGAGCGUUGUCCGGAAUCAUUGGGCGUAAAGGGUACGUAGGCGGGUAAGCAAGUUAGAAGUGAAAUCCUAUAGCUCAACUAUAGUAAGCUUUUAAAACUGCUCAUCUUGAGGUAUGGAAGGGAAAGUGGAAUUCCUAGUGUAGCGGUGAAAUGCGCAGAUAUUAGGAGGAAUACCGGAGGCGAAGGCGACUUUCUGGCCAUAACCUGACGCUGAGGUACGAAAGCGUGGGUAGCAAACAGG